GGGAAAAGAUCUAAAUUCACUGCAUAACAAUGCACAACGAGCUUAUGUAGAUUUAAUGAAUCAUGUAAUAACCCAAAUUUGCCCGACCCAAAUCAGAAAUAAAUAAAUAAAAAAACAUUAAUAAAAACAAAAUUAUUAAAAGUCCAUCAGUCCAUAUUACUAACUCAAAAUACAUCAGACCUACUAAGCCCCAAUAUCACAACCCAAUUAUUAACCCAACUACAGCCCAAAAUAGCUAAACACAAACCCACUAAGACCCACUAACCUAAC
This 270-nucleotide long non-coding RNA is filed under the name Gossypium raimondii (Peruvian cotton). RNAcentral's name for it is "long non-coding RNA (GRAI_LNC010892)". Lineage: Eukaryota; Viridiplantae; Streptophyta; Magnoliopsida; Malvales; Malvaceae. The record is from RNAcentral.